This 871-nucleotide long non-coding RNA is filed under the name Olea europaea subsp. europaea. The record is from RNAcentral. Lineage: Eukaryota; Viridiplantae; Streptophyta; Magnoliopsida; Lamiales; Oleaceae.
CGCAAGCACCUCCCUGCUCAUUUGGAUCCAGUUUUUAACCGGGAGGGAUUUAUUUCAUGAUAUCUUGACUGGGACCAAUGCCAAGGCAGGGGUAGAAAUUUAUGCUCCUCAAUUUUUUGCUCGCCAGCUUGGUUUCGGCCAAACUUGGCCUGUUUCUCCUUGCUAUUCAAGGAACUUAAUUGACCAUUUUUAUACCAUUAAUAAGGCGGAGGUGGAGGCAAAGGCUAUAAAUGCUCGCAAUCUUCUUUUAACCAGCCAUUUCUCAUUAGCCCCCUUCAAUUCUAGCCACGCCAUUCAUCCUCUUUUUGAACAGCUCUGGCCGUCAGUGAAGCGCAGAUUAUUUGCGAUUGACGCCAAUCAUGCCUUUCAUUCACUAGACCAGCCGAGCAUUUCUUUCCCUCCUCCUGUUUUAGUCACUCCUUUGUCCGUUCGGAGUCCUUCUCCUUCUCGUCGCACUAAACAGUCUGCUCGUCCAUCUUCUUCUCUUCCUGCCAAGCCUACUACAGCCAAGAGUGCCCCAAGCCGCAAACGGCCAACCUCAGCAUCUCCUAUUCUGGAGGAUGAUGACGAUGAUGCCCCUCUUAUCGUCAGGAGGAAGGUAAUUAAAUUGGUUUACACAAAAGCAUAAUUUUUCAUCCUAGAAACUUUUCUGUGUGCUGAUGAUCUUUUGGACUUCUCAGAAAAGCUCAGUCUCUCCUUCAAAGGCUUUGGCAUCGACAACUCCUGCUCCAUCAUCCUCCGUUGAAGCUGCUUCAUCCAAACCGGUUGAUGAGGGGACUGCACUUAAAGAGACAUCUUCAGUCCCAGAGUCCUCAUCACAACCCAUGGAUGAGCUACCUUCUUCCCAGGGCGUCAACCCCCCAAAUAUCGA